RNAcentral lists this ribosomal RNA (377 nucleotides) under uncultured bacterium. Its description in RNAcentral is "bacterial SSU rRNA". It matches the Rfam family "Bacterial small subunit ribosomal RNA", at positions 523 to 898 of the family's 1533-position model. The record is from RNAcentral.
AUACGUAGGGGGCGAGCGUUGUCCGAAUUCACUGGGCGUAAAGCGCGCGUAGGCGGGUUAUUAAGUUAGGGGUGAAAUCCCGAGGCUCAACCUCGGAACUGCCUUUGAAACUGUUAGCCUGGAGGUAUGGAGAGGGAAGUUGAAUUCCUGGUGUAGCGGUGAUAUGCGUAGAUAUCAGGAGGAACACCCGUGGCGAAGGCGGCUUCCUGGCCAUAUCCUGACGCUGAGGUGCGAAAGCUAGGGUAGCGAACGGGAUUAGAUACCCCGGUAGUCCUAGCCGUAAACGAUGGAUACUAGGUGUUAUAGGUAUCGACCCCUGUAGUGCCGGAGCUAACGCAUUAAGUAUCCCGCCUGGGGAGUACGACCGCAAGGUUGAA